GAUGAACGCUGGCGGCGUGCCUAAUACAUGCCAGUCGAGCGAACAGACGAGGAGCUUGCUCCUCUGACGUUAGCGGCGGAGGGGUGAGUAACACGUGGAUAACCUCCCUAUAAGACUGGGAUAACUUCGGGAAACCGGAGCUAAUCCCGGAUAAUAUAUUGAACCGCAUGGUUCAAUAGUGAAAGACGGUUUUGCUGUCACUUAUAGAUGGAUCCGCGCCGCAUUAGCUAGUUGGUAAGGUAACGGCUUACCAAGGCGACGAUGCGUAGCCGACCUGAGAGAGUGAUCGGCCACACUGGAACUGAGACACGGUCCAGACUCCUACGGGAGGCAGCAGUAGGGAAUCUUACGCAAUGGGCGAAAGCCUGACGGAGCAACGCGGCGUGAGUGAUGAAGGUCUUCGGAUCGUAAAACUCGGUUAUUAGGGAAGAACAAAUGUGUAAGUAAAUAUGCACGUCUUGACGGUACCUAAUCAGAAAGCCACGGCUAACUACGUG
RNAcentral lists this ribosomal RNA (497 nucleotides) under uncultured bacterium. RNAcentral's name for it is "partial 16S ribosomal RNA". It matches the Rfam family "Bacterial small subunit ribosomal RNA", at positions 28 to 507 of the family's 1533-position model. The record is from RNAcentral.